CCUACGGGAUGCAGCAGUGAGGAAUAUUGGUCAAUGGACGAGAGUCUGAACCAGCCAAGUAGCGUGAAGGAUGACUGCCCUAUGGGUUGUAAACUUCUUUUAUAUGGGAAUAAAAUGUUCCACGUGUGGGAUUUUGUAUGUACCAUAUGAAUAAGGAUCGGCUAACUCCGUGCCAGCAGCCGCGGUAAUCCGGAGGAUCCGAGCGUUGUCCGGAUUUAUUGGGGUUAAGGGGAGCGUAGGUGGAUUGUUAAGUCAGUUGUGAAAGUUUGCGGCUCAACCGUAAAAUUGCAGUUGAAACUGGCAGUCUGGAGUACAGUAGAGGUGGGCGGAAUUCGUGGUGUAGCGGUGAAAUGCUUAGAUAUCACGAAGAACUCCGAUUGCGAAGGCAGCUCACUGGACUGCAACUGACACUGAGGCUCGAAAGUGUGGGUAUCAAACAGGAUUAGAUACCCUUGUAGUC
RNAcentral lists this ribosomal RNA (460 nucleotides) under uncultured bacterium. RNAcentral's name for it is "partial 16S ribosomal RNA". It matches the Rfam family "Bacterial small subunit ribosomal RNA", at positions 338 to 795 of the family's 1533-position model. The record is from RNAcentral.